UGCAGUUUACUAUUCGGCCACCGGCAGCGCAGAGGAGUGUAGCCGACGGCUGCAUGCGCGAGCAAUGCCAGGCUCCCGGUGCCCUUAUCAGCACAUCGCUGGCGGCGGUGAGACGGCAGGCCACCAGUGCAGGCCUCUCGCCGGUGGUGGGGCGACGUGGGGACGCUAGCGCCGGUCUCAUUCCGGCGGUAGCCCUGCCACCUUUCUGGGGCCGAGGGAGGAGUUACAGCGGCGGCGAUUCUCUGCCCGAUGGGUGGCGCCGCCGCGUCAGCGUUGAGAGGAGUAGUCCUGCUGUCGAAUCCCGUAGUCGCGUCAGCAUGAGGAAUUUUCUAGAAGUGGAAAUGAUGGUUAGAGAGUACGAGAUAGAUCGUUUUGGGGUUGUGAAUCAUGCUGUCUAUUUGAACUACUGCUACCAUGGUCAAACAGAACUCUGCGCUAGGAUUGGUGUAUUCCUGGAUGAAGUUGCUCUAUCAGGUGAAGCACUAGCAAUAACUGAUUUAUUCAUCAAGUUCAUCGCACCUCUCAGAGUUGGUGAUAGGUUCGUGGUGAAAUCAAGGUUCUCAAGUGUCUCUCGUGUACAUGUUAAGUUAGAGCACUUCAUCUUUAAGCUGCCAAAUAUUGAGCCCAUUUUGGAGGUAAAGUCUACAGGUGUCUGGCUGAAUAAGAACUAUCGCCUUAUAUAUAUUCCAUCAAAUUUUAUUUCGAACAUUAUAUUAUUUGAUGAGUCUCUUAAUAAGUGACCAUUCAUCUAGUAAAAAAUAAAGAGGAGUGUUAUAAUAUUGUGUGUACUUUGUAAUAUUUUAAUUUCUCCUCAAGAUUAUGAUUCUGAG
This 830-nucleotide unclassified non-coding RNA is filed under the name Hevea brasiliensis (rubber tree). Lineage: Eukaryota; Viridiplantae; Streptophyta; Magnoliopsida; Malpighiales; Euphorbiaceae. The record is from RNAcentral.